This 729-nucleotide ribosomal RNA is filed under the name Triticum aestivum (bread wheat). Its description in RNAcentral is "partial small subunit ribosomal RNA". The record is from RNAcentral. Lineage: Eukaryota; Viridiplantae; Streptophyta; Magnoliopsida; Poales; Poaceae.
AUGUGGCACACCGAGCCAGGACAAUUCUAUGGCCUUCGAGCUGAAAUGAGUAUAUGGGCUUCACCAAAUCAAGAAACCUCUCAAGAAUCUGGAGCAUUCUUACAUAUUUAUUGUCAAGAUGGAGGACACUACAAAUUAAUUCAAGUUGAAUUCCACAUUUCCCCCUCUUUGUACAAUAACAGAGAUAUUCGCUUCUUUACAUAUUGGACUAAGGACUUGAAAUCCAAGGGGUGCUACAACUCACAAUGCGCGGGAUAUGUACCUGCAAGUGGAGUGGAGCUGGUGCCUGGACAAGCCAUUGCUCCUCCAUCAGUUUAUGGCAUACAAGAUCACUACAUCAGGCUUAGCAUCAACAAGGAUCCAAAUUCUGGAGAUUGGGUGGUGCACCGUCAUGAUUUAGAAAAACCAUCAUUCUUGGGACAUUUUCCAAAGGAGCUUUGCCUUGGAACAAAACGUAUACAAGCAUUGACCAAAUUUGUGAAUUACUUAAAGAAUGCACAUGGUCCUCCAAUGGGUAGUGGACACUUCCCUGAUUAUGAUGAGAAGAAAUCUACCUACUUCAACCACAUUAAGAAGUACAACUCCAAGGGUCAAGCUUUUGACCCCUUUUCGACUAAGGUGGCCAAGUUAGUUGAUAGGCCAGAUUGUUAUGAUGCAAAUGAUUUAUUUCUUGAAUUUAAGAAGGGUUAUACAUUCAAUUAUGGUGGACCAAGUGGUUGUAUUGGUUGA